This 608-nucleotide ribosomal RNA is filed under the name uncultured bacterium. RNAcentral's name for it is "bacterial SSU rRNA". It matches the Rfam family "Bacterial small subunit ribosomal RNA", at positions 224 to 826 of the family's 1533-position model. The record is from RNAcentral.
GAUUAGCCUGCGUCCGAUUAGCUAGUUGGUAGGGUAAAGGCCUACCAAGGCGACGAUCGUUAGCUGGUCUGAGAGGAUGACCAGCCACACUGGAACUGAGACACGGUCCAGACUCCUACGGGAGGCAGCAGUGGGGAAUAUUGGACAAUGGGGGCAACCCUGAUCCAGCAAUACCGCGUGUGAAGAAGGCCUGAGGGUUGUAAAGCACUUUCAGUGGGGAGGAGAAUGCUUAGGUUAAGAGCUAGAGUAUUGGACGUUACCCACAGAAGAAGCACCGGCUAACUCCGUGCCAGCAGCCGCGGUAAUACGGAGGGUGCGAGCGUUAAUCGGAAUUACUGGGCGUAAAGGGUGCGUAGGUGGUUAAAUAAGUUAUCUGUGAAAUCCCCGGGCUCAACCUGGGCAGGUCAGAUAAUACUGUUUAACUCGAGUAUGGGAGAGGGUAGUGGAAUUUCCGGUGUAGCGGUGAAAUGCGUAGAGAUCGGAAGGAACACCAGUGGCGAAGGCGGCUACCUGGCCUAAUACUGACACUGAGGCACGAAAGCGUGGGGAGCAAACAGGAUUAGAUACCCUGGUAGUCCACGCUGUAAACGAUGUCAACUAGCUGUUGG